GCUGCAACAAGAUAUUGUAAAAUCCACUCUUCUUUCUCUUAGCUAUUUAUUUUUUUCUGCAGUUUGUAAGUGCUAAUUGAUGCACGUGGUGGUUUUAGGAGAGAAAACCUGCUACAAUUAGGUUUUGUUGAAUCUCCCGAUUGAAUUUUCUGUUGUUAUGCAUCCUUCAUCGCGUACACAUGAUAAUUAGUUCUCUCACAGGCAAGCAGAAAGGAGCACACGAGUUGUGUGCCCAUACUUGCAGGAGCGGGGUUGUUCAGGUAGUUUUUGAGGCCUCGAUCCACUACUGGCAGUGUUGUUUGCAGAUAUGAAGUCUCUUUGCAUUUGAAGAGCCAGGAAGGUAGCACCUUGGGCAGUAUUUAUCCGAAGCAACAAGGGGGGUCAAGAAAUUAUGCUCAAGUUAAAACCUCAUAUGUGAGUUGAUUUUUGUAUGGGUUAUUUAUUCUGUUGUAUAGACCUUGGACGACCUUAGAGUAAGAGCUGCUAUGUAAUUGAAAUCUGAUCCACUAACACAAUGAAACUUCCAUGAAAAUUUA
This is a long non-coding RNA of Triticum aestivum (bread wheat), 536 nucleotides long. RefSeq lists it as uncharacterized. NCBI's taxonomy places the organism in Eukaryota, Viridiplantae, Streptophyta, Magnoliopsida, Poales, Poaceae. The transcript is spliced from 3 exons. The record is from RefSeq and is a predicted model, not a curated record.